RNAcentral lists this transfer RNA (78 nucleotides) under Paenibacillus baekrokdamisoli. RNAcentral's name for it is "tRNA-Ala". Lineage: Bacteria; Bacillati; Bacillota; Bacilli; Caryophanales; Paenibacillaceae. The record is from RNAcentral.
GGGUAGUGAAACCAACCAAGGUGGGAGAGCGCUUCGCUGGCGGCGAAGAGGUCAGCAGUUCGAUCCUGCUAGGGCCCC